RNAcentral lists this long non-coding RNA (4295 nucleotides) under Arabidopsis thaliana (thale cress). RNAcentral describes it as "long non-coding RNA (ATHA_LNC000348)". The record is from RNAcentral. Lineage: Eukaryota; Viridiplantae; Streptophyta; Magnoliopsida; Brassicales; Brassicaceae.
GUAUGGUGGUGGUGGAGACUUGUAGUGAACCUUAGGAGAAGGAGAGUAAUAGGGUGGUGGUGGGGAGCUGUAGACGUAUGGUGGAGGUGGGGACUUGUAGUGAACUUUAGGAGAAGGAGAGUAGUAUGGUGGUGGUGGGGAACUGUAGACGUACGGUGGUGGUGGGGACUUGUAGUAUACAUUUGGAGAUGGUGAGUAGUACGGUGGGGGUGGGGAGCUGUAGACGUACGGUGGUGGUGGGGACUUGUAGUAAACCUUUGGAGAAGGAGAGUAGUACGGUGGUGGUGGGGAACUGUAGACGUACGGUGGUGGUGGGGACUUGUAGUAUACCUUAGGAGAAGGAGAGUAGUACGGUGGUGGUGGGGAGCUGUAGACGUAUGGUGGAGGUGGAGACUUAUAGUAAACCUUUGGAGAAGGAGAGUAGUACGGUGGUGGUGGAGAACUGUAGACGUACGGUGGUGGUGGGGACUUGUAGUAUACCUUUGGAGAUGGAGAGUAGUACGGUGGGGGUGGGGAGCUGUAGACGUAUGGUGGAGGUGGGGACUUGUAGUAAACCUUUGGAGAAGGAGAGUAGUACGGUGGUGGUGGAGAACUGUAGACGUACGGUGGUGGUGGGGACUUGUAGUAUACCUUUGGAGAUGGAGAGUAGUACGGUGGGGGUGGGGAGCUGUAGACGUAUGGUGGAGGUGGGGACUUGUAGUAAACCUUUGGAGAAGGAGAGUAGUACGGUGGUGGUGGGGAACUGUAGACGUAUGGUGGUGGUGGGGACUUGUAGUAAACCUUUGGUGAAGGAGAGUAGUACAGUGGUGGUGGGGAACUGUAGACGUACGGUGGUGGUGGGGACUUGUAGUAUACCUUAGGAGAAGGAGAGUAGUACGGUGGUGGUGGGGAGCUGUAAACGUAUGGUGGAGGUGGGGACUUGUAGUAAACCUUUGGAGAAGGAGAGUAGUACGGUGGAGGUGGAGAAUUAUAGACGUAUGGUGGUGGUGGAGAUUUAUAGUUUACCUUUGGUGAUGGAGUAUAGUAUGGUGGUGGUGGAGAACUGUAAACAUAUGGUUUCGGAUGUGGUGCGUACUUUGGGCCUUUGUGUUCAUAGCUGGGAGAAUCGUAAGCUGGGGUAUGAGGAGAUGAGUAAGGGUAUGAUGUCACUGUAGCCGCAAUAGCACUUAGGACCACAACAUAAACCAUGCAAUUCAUUAAUCCCAUUGUUCUUGAGGAUCUCAUCACACUCUUUUAUUUCUUUGUUUUUGGUUAUGUUAGACUUGAACAUGAACACCCUUUAUAUAGUCUUACUUUGUGUUCUCAACUUGCGUUCGUGUGUGGCACUUCUAAGUACAUUAGAGGACGUGCUAAGUUGUUUGUUUGAAAAUUCGUGAUUCGUGAAGAAUAUGUAAUAAUACUAGAUUCUUGAGCAACCCUCAAUUUUUAAGGAUUAUAAGUUAAAAAAGAAUUAUAUGGUACAAGCUGGUUCUUCUUUGGUUAAGGCAAGUGGAUGCGAAUCGAUCGUGUGAGCAACAUUUGAUUCACAACAUUUCCUCAUGGGCGACCACGUUCAUCCAAAAAAAAAAAAAAAAAAAAAAGCUAAGCAUCUAUUUACAUUAGAGUUGCUUAUGCUGUUUCUUACUUUUUUUUUUAUCUUUUUUUUUAUUGGCAAUAGCCAUUAUUCUUCUAGUAACGUCAUUUGACGGAGCAAAAUAAAUACAUAUAUCAUCCAUUUGAGCCGCAUUUAGACCAAUUAGUGUUUUUUUUUCUUUGUUUGAUAAAAGAUUAGACCAAUAAAGUUUGUAUCGCAAAACUAGCAAUUUCAUGCUUUUUUUUUGCUCUUACGUUGUGUGAUCAACUGAUCAUUAAUUAUCGCACAGUAUAACAUUAGCAAAAGCUUCGUUCAUUCUUUGUAGUGAAUCAAAAGAAAACAAAUAUGACUAUGAUAAACUAACAGAAUCUAUCGUCAAUCUUGCACUUUGUCAUGGAAAGCAGCACUAAUGACAUUUUUUUAAACAAGAGCGUACUUCUAGACGGAAAAACAAAAUCCAAACUAAAAAGAAGAAUCGUGCUGAUGAGGAAACAAAGAAAUUAGGGGAGAAGGUAACUUUAGGGAUCCACCUGAAAACUUGUACUAAAUGCUGUUAAAAAAAAAAACAGAAGAGAAGUAACAUUUUUCUACACAAAGUUGAAGACUCUUGAAAGCAUCAACGAUUUGACCAAAAAAAAAAAUGGAAAGCAUCAACGACAAUAACAAAGAAGAAAUUAAAGAUUCAAGUGCCACUAUUGUUUCAAGAACUUCCCUACUUCACAAGCCCUAGCUAGGUGGCCAUCAAAACGCUCAAUAGAGAACGUCAACGAACCAAACGCUUCAACGUCCAUUCAAACACAGUCGCUUUUUCCACCCCCAACAUUGGUGCUUGCCUGCUUCUAGGUGCAACGAGGAUCGCUUUAGCUUUGAAGCUGCUCAAAUCAACCACACGAGAUUAGGAUUAUGUCGUAGCUAUAACUAAUCCGACCGUUCAUCUUAUAAUAGAUAUAUGCCUUGGCGUUCAUCGGUGAUCACCAGACUAGACCGACGUAUGUCGGGUGGUGGUAGCAGCAGCAUAAGUCUAUUUUACGAUUCCAAGACGAAUGUAUCCUUCUUUUAAUACCUCUAAUUCUUUCUUUUUUUCCUUUAGUUUUCCUCUAGUUUGUUUUGUUUUAAUUCACUUAUGAUGGUUAGUCCCCGUGACACCGUAUAAACUUCACAGUUAAACAAGUUCAAGCAGAUGAAUAGAAAACUCUCAACGGCGAGCUUGUAUGUCUUAAAUAGAACUAGACCUUGUUGAAAAAUUUAUGUGAUACACUCUUCUUCUCCUAUAAAUCUUGACUUUUGAUGUAUUUUAUGUAAUAUACGUCAUAAGUUAGAGAAAAAAAUAAAAAUAAAAAGAGACGCAAGUGAGAAUACUAGGAAUAAGAAAAUAACGAAAUAGCUAAUAUAUGUACUAUAUACAAAUUUUAACGGUUCGAUCUAAAUCUAUCAUAUCCAUAACCUUACCAAAAUUGCUUUUUAACCUUUUUUCAAUGGAUAGCAAAACGGAUAUAUUAGAAAUUUGGAGCCAAUUCGAACAAAUACCAAGGGAUUUUUAAAUAUAGCCAAAUAUUAUUGGUAAAAUAAAAAGCUCAACAAGAUAAAGGAACAAAUUAAAAGAACAAAAUCAGAAGAUUCAAGAGAAAAAAAUCAUAAAAACAAAUUAUUGCAAUCACGUUUCCUUUUAAUGAAACAAUUCAAAAUCAAUAGUAAGGCGCCUUGUAGACAUAUGGGGGUGGUGGAGACUUGUAAGUGACCUUUGGAGAAGGAGAAUAGUAUGGUGGAGGUGGAGAGUUAUACACGUAUGGUGGUGGUGGAGAUUUGUAAUGAACCUUUGGAGAAGGAGAGUAAUAUAGUGGGGGUGGGGAGCUGUAAACGUAUGGUAGUGGUGGAGACUUGUAGUCAACCUUUGGAGAAGGAGAAUAAUAUGGUAGGGGUGGGAAGCUAUAGACGUAUGGUGGGGGGGUAGACUUGUAGUCAACCAUAGGAGAAGGAGAGUAGUAUGGUGGGGGCGGAGAACUGUAAACGUAUGGUGGUGGGGGAGACUUGUAGUUAACCUUAGGCGAAGGAGAGUAGUAUGGUGGGGGUGGGGAGCUGUAGACGUAUGGUGGUGGUGGAGAUUUGUAGUUUACCUUAGGCGAAGGAGAGUAGUAUGGUGGGGGAUGGGAGCUGUAGACGUAUGGUGGUGGUGGAGAUUUGUAGUUUACCUUAGGCGAAGGAGAGUGGUAUGGUGGGGGAGGGGAACUGUAGACGUAUGGUGGUGGUGGAGACUUGUACUCAACCUUUGGUGAAGGAGAGUAGUAAGGUGGGGGAGGGGAGCUGUAGACGUAUGGUGGUGGGGGAGACUUGUACUCAACCUUUGGUGAAGGAGAGUAGUAAGGUGGAGGAGGGGAGCUGUAGACGUAUGGUGGUGGGGGAGACUUGUAAUCAACCUUAGGUGAAGGAGAGUAGUAUGGUGGGGGCGGGGAGCUGUAGACGUAUGGUGGUGGGGGAGACUUGUACGCAACCUUUGGUGAAGGAGAGUAGUAAGGUGGGGGCGGAGAGCUGUAGACGUAUGGUGGUGGGGGAGACUUGUACGCAACCUUUGGCGAAGGAGAGUAGUAUUGUGGGGGCGGGGAGCUGUAGACGUAUGGUGGUGGGGGAGACUUGUAGUCAACCUUAGGCGAAGGAGAGUAGUAUGGUGGGGGUGGAGAGCUGUAAACAUACGGUGGUGGUGGGGACUUGUAGUCAACCUUUGGAG